ACAAUGGAUAUCUCGGCUCUCACAUCGAUGAAGAACGUAGUGAAAUACGAUACUUGGUGUGAAUUGUAGAAUCCCAUGAAUCAUCGAGUCUUUGAAUGCAAGUUGCGCCCGAAGCCAUUAGGCUGAGGGCACGUCUGCUUGGGUGUCACGC
Molecule: ribosomal RNA, 151 nt
Filed under: Leucaena pallida
Lineage: Eukaryota; Viridiplantae; Streptophyta; Magnoliopsida; Fabales; Fabaceae
Description: 5.8S ribosomal RNA
Rfam family: 5.8S ribosomal RNA
About the family: 5.8S ribosomal RNA (5.8S rRNA) is a component of the large subunit of the eukaryotic ribosome. It is transcribed by RNA polymerase I as part of the 45S precursor that also contains 18S and 28S rRNA.
Source: RNAcentral